CCAAUAGCGUAUAUUAAAGUUGUUGCAGUUAAAAAGCUCGUAGUUGAAUUUCGGGAUCAAUAUGUUGGUCGUGCCUCGGUACGUACUAGCUUAUUGGUUUCUCCUUUCUGAAGAACCAUGAUGUCAUUUAUUUGGUGUCGUGGGGAAUCAGGACUGUUACUUUGAAAAAAUUAGAGUGUUUAAAGCAGGCUCACGCUUGAAUACAUUAGCAUGGAAUAAUGAAAUAGGACGUUUGAUUCUAUUUUGUUGGUUUCUAGGAUCGACGUAAUGAUUAAUAGGGAUAGUUGGGGGCAUUAGUAUUCAAUUGUCAGAGGUGAAAUUCUUGGAUUUAUUGAAGACUAACUACUGCGAAAGCAUUUGCCAAGGAUGUUUUCAUUAAUCAAGAACGAAGGUUAGGGGAUCGAAGACGAUCAGAUACCGUCGUAGUCUUAACCAUAAACUAUGCCGACUAGGGAUCGGAUGAUGUUAAUUUUUUAAUGACUCAUUCGGCGCCUUAC
RNAcentral lists this ribosomal RNA (497 nucleotides) under uncultured Glomeromycotina. RNAcentral's name for it is "partial small subunit ribosomal RNA". It matches the Rfam family "Eukaryotic small subunit ribosomal RNA", at positions 591 to 1091 of the family's 1831-position model. Lineage: Eukaryota; Fungi; Glomeromycota. The record is from RNAcentral.